RNAcentral lists this ribosomal RNA (642 nucleotides) under Pustula tragopogonis. RNAcentral's name for it is "LSU rRNA". It matches the Rfam family "Eukaryotic large subunit ribosomal RNA", at positions 108 to 655 of the family's 3401-position model. The record is from RNAcentral. Lineage: Eukaryota; Oomycota; Peronosporomycetes; Albuginales; Albuginaceae.
CUCAAGCUUAAAAUCUCCUUGCAGUCUCUGCUCGGCGAAUUGUAGUCUAUUGAGGCGAAGUCAGCGCGCAGGAUCUGGUCAAGUUCCUUGGAAGAGGACAGCAUGGAGGGUUAUACUCCCGUCUUUGCCAGCGAAUGUGCGCGUACGACUCGUCUUCUUUGAGUCGCGUUGUUUGGGAAUGCAGCGCAAAGCAGGUGGUAAAUUCCAUCGAAAGCUAAAUACCUGUGCGAGACCGAUAGCGAACAAGUACCGUGAGGGAAAGAUGAAAAGAACUUUGAAAAGAGAGUUAAAGAGUACCUGAAACUGCUGAAAGGGAAGCGAAUCGCGUCCGCUGUCCGAAUCCGUGGUCAACACAGCUUCGGCUACUGUCACGGAGGAGUCAAAGUCAGUUUUGUGUCGACGGUAAAGUCGACCGUGAGCGUGGCAUGUUUCCCUUCGGGGGGGCGUACGAGGAACGUUCAGCGUAGCUUCGGCCAAGACUGAGGCGAUAACAGCAAACGUGGGAAUCCCGCAGGCCGCCCAGGUUAGCAGAUGACCGCGGCUCUCUCGGGAGUCGUGGCCUAUCGAAGCACCAUAUGUAUGCAGGCGGGGACGCACACGCUGUUAGGGACUUUGAUCAAAUGGAGCGAUUCGGCCCGUCUU